This 65-nucleotide transfer RNA is filed under the name Platisus moerosus. RNAcentral's name for it is "tRNA-Glu". The record is from RNAcentral. Lineage: Eukaryota; Metazoa; Arthropoda; Insecta; Coleoptera; Cucujidae.
UUUUAUAUAGUUUAAAUAAAACAUUACAUUUUCACUGUAAAAAUAAAAUUAAAUUUUUAUAAAUA